GAUGAACGCUAGCGGCAGGCUUAACACAUGCAAGUCGAGGGGUAUUUGUCUUCGGACAGAGAGACCGGCGCACGGGUGCGUAACGCGUAUGCAACCUACCUUUUACAGAGGGAUAGCCCAGAGAAAUUUGGAUUAAUACAUCAUAGUAUACAGAGUUGGCAUCAACACUGUAUUAAAGUUCCAACGGUAAAAGAUGGGCAUGCGUCCCAUUAGCUAGAUGGUAAGGUAACGGCUUACCAUGGCUAUGAUGGGUAGGGGUCCUGAGAGGGAGAUCCCCCACACUGGUACUGAGACACGGACCAGACUCCUACGGGAGGCAGCAGUGAGGAAUAUUGGUCAAUGGACGCAAGUCUGAACCAGUCAUGCCGCGUGCAGGAUGACGGUCCUAUGGAUUGUAAACUGCUUUUGUACGGGAAGAAACAACAUUACGUGUAAUGUCUUGACGGUACCGUAAGAAUAAGGAUCGGCUAACUCCGUGCCAGCCGCCGCGGUAACAC
RNAcentral lists this ribosomal RNA (497 nucleotides) under uncultured bacterium. Its description in RNAcentral is "bacterial SSU rRNA". It matches the Rfam family "Bacterial small subunit ribosomal RNA", at positions 28 to 526 of the family's 1533-position model. The record is from RNAcentral.